Molecule: long non-coding RNA, 642 nt
Organism: Eublepharis macularius
Lineage: Eukaryota; Metazoa; Chordata; Lepidosauria; Squamata; Eublepharidae
Exons: 4
Source: RefSeq, a predicted model, not a curated record
ACCAGCCCUCGUUUCCUAUCCAUUGCCUCCGCCCACCAAAUAUCACAACAACAACAAGCAGUGAGGUUACUACAACUGCGCAAGCAGCACCUUGGAGGAAAGAUUGUUUGGGAGCAGAGGAAGGGGCUUCCUGUCAGUGCCCCCUUCCCCUUUUGAUGUUCUACUCGUAGGGCACUGCCAGUGGGAACGCCAACAACUAGACUGUCCUGCCUGGUUGAAUUAGAGCAUGUGCUGUAGAAGUCCAACACCUGGAGAGGAAUUCAGAUGAGAAUGUCAGAAGCAUCUCUGAGGUUCGUUUGGAGUUAAGGGGAAGAGGUUCAUGAUAGUAGAGGAGAAAAUGGUGUAAGGAUGGGAGAAGAUGCUGCCCUUUCUGGAAUUGGCUGAAGACUCCUGCCAGGGCGGCAGGACUGGAGGAGGGUCCAAAUGGAGAGGAGACAGAGAAACGAAACCCCCGAAGGGUGUGAAUCUCCUAAUGUUAUAUUUUCGAUAGCAGGUAGAGUGCAGAGGAGAACGUAGGACCCAGGAGGAACCCCAGCCCUACAAGUGACCGGUUAUUUUGGCUUGUUUCAUGCAAUCCACUUCCUCAGGGGACGGCACACAAUCCACCUUAACAAAUAACUUUUCUGUGAACCAAUUAAAAAA